AAGAAGUCAGGCCACUACAAGUGCCAUAACUUGAGCAAAUUAUGCAGCCUGUAGCUCCACCUGGGAAGGUGUAAAAAAUCUGGGAGGCCACAAACCAUGGAAGCUGUACGCAUGGCGUAGUGGACUAGCGGUUAGAGGAGACCCCUCCCUUGCAAAUCGCAGCAACAAUGGGGGCCCAAGGUGAGAUGAAGCUGUAGUCUCACUGGAAGGACUAGAGGUUAGAGGAGACCCCCCCGAAACAAAAAACAGCAUAUUGACGCUGGGAAAGACC
Molecule: long non-coding RNA, 271 nt
Filed under: dengue virus type 2
Lineage: Riboviria; Orthornavirae; Kitrinoviricota; Flasuviricetes; Amarillovirales; Flaviviridae
Description: Dengue virus type 2 partial sfRNA2
Rfam family: Flavivirus DB element (bases 170-241)
Source: RNAcentral